This is a non-coding RNA of Labrus bergylta (ballan wrasse), 2408 nucleotides long. Lineage: Eukaryota; Metazoa; Chordata; Actinopteri; Labriformes; Labridae. The record is from RefSeq and is a predicted model, not a curated record.
CCCAGUCUCUCCUCCUCCAGUGGUUCAAAUAGGAGUAUUGUUGUUGCUGAUAAAAUGGUUAUCCUGUUUUGAUCAGAGUUAUCAAACCUUCCUGCUGCUUCUGGUCAUCUCAGUGUACCAGUUACUGGGUAUCAGGAGCUUCAGGACUACACCAUAUGUUCCUCAAACGGAUGAGCUAACAGAGCGCUUUAACCAGACCCUGAAACAGAUGCUCCGGAAGUUGGUAAACAACAAUGGUACAGACUGGGAUCAAUGACUGCCAUACCUCCUUUUUUGCAUACAGGGAAGUACCCAAUCCUCCACUGGUUUCUCUCCGUUUGAACUUCUGUAUAGACAUGAAGUUUGGGGGUCGUUGGCACUGUUGAGAGAGAUCUGGGAGGGUGGGAUCUGUUAACGUUGUAUCCCAUGUCAUCCAGAUGAGAGAGCGGCUGGAGAAAAUGGGUGAGCUGGCCCAAUCGCAUGUGGCGGAUGCUCAGCAGCAACAGAAGUCCUGGUACGACAAGCCAGCCAGGCAGAGAUUCUUCGACCCUGGACUGAAAGUGCUGGUGCUAACAAACUGUUGGUUAAAUGGCAAGGACUGUUAAAAAACCUAAAGAAACUUGGGCCAACCAGGUACUGACACCAAGGCACUCACGCUCCAGUAGGGUACUUCACACAAAUCUCUUAAAAGAGUGGGUGCCGCGACCUGAAAGAAAAACAGAAGUGAUGCUAAUAAGUGUGCUGGAUGAAGAAGUGGAUGAGCAAUACUACCUCUAUAGUGACCUGGUAGACCAUGAUCUCAGUAACCAAUCAGAAGGCCAAUGGCUUCAGGUGAGCUCUAUCUGUAAUUCAGAUGUUUUCCAAGAGAAUCCUGGGAGAACAAACAUUGUUGAACAUGACAUCGUUGUUAGAGAAGGUGCUUCUGUGAGAAGAUUAACUUACAGGAUCCCUGAGCGCCUGCUGGCCUCACUGAGAAGGGAAGUUAACCUGAUGCCUUCCCUGGGGAUCAUCGAGACUUUGAAGAGCUAGUGGUGUAACCCAAUGGUGCUUGUACCAAAGGAUGGAAGCAUAAGGUUCUGCAUUGAUUUCAGGUACCUGAAUUGAAUUUCUCUCUUUGAUUCAGCCAACACCAAUAAUGUAUGAACUGCAUGUUCAAUAGAUCUCUACAAGGGUAAUUGGCAGAUUCCUCUCACCGAUUGGUCACAGGAACUGACAGCCUUCAGGACACCAUGGGGCCCUUUCCAUUAGUAAUACCAUUUGAGUUUCAGCAACUUUCCAGCGACUCAUGGACCAGGUAAUUUGUUAUUUAUCUGGUUUUGCUGCAGCAUAUCUAGAUGACAUUGUCAUUUACAGUAACACGUGGGAGGAACAUCGGCAAGCUGUCUUGGAUCGCCUUCAUUCUGCCUGGCUGACUGUCAUCCUAUCGAAGGACCUAGGCCAUAUCAUCAAUGGGGUUGUACGCCCUCAGGUCAACAAAAUCCAGGCCAUAGAGUCCUGUCCCAUGCCACAAACAAGGAAGCAGCUCCGAUCUUUUUUGGGCUAUCAGGCUUCUAUCACCACCUCAUACUCAAUUUCUCCAACAGGGCAGCUCUUCUCACAGACUUGACUAGAUCCCGGAGUCCCAAUCAGAUCCAGUGGACAGAGACGGCAGUGCAGCUUUCAGUGAUAUCCAGCAAUUACUAAGUAAGCAACCUUGUCUGUAUAGCCCAAACUUUGACGAACAUUUUCUUCUGCAAACUGAUGCUUCUGACAGGGCUUUGGGAGCUGCGUUACUCCAGGGACUUCAGGAUGAUCUGCAUCCAGUCGCCCACAUCAGCCGGAAACUGUUCCUCAGAGAGAUUCGAUAUUUGCCGGUGGAGAAGGAAGCACUGGCUAUCAAGUGGGCCCUUGAUUCCUUCCGGUACUACCUUCUUCUUCAAGAGUUCACCUUGGAGACGGAUCACAAGGCCCGUUUGGCUUUGGUAGAGAAACCAUCCAGUGACAAGAAGACGUACCACUAUCUCCUCACACAGUACUACGAGGGAAAAUACGUACACCCAUUUUUCUGCCCCAUAGAAAAAGUGGAUGUAGGAUCUUUGAAAGAGGUUAGUCGAGACCCUCUUCUGUUAGGGUUAUUUUUUUUUUUUUCAGCUCCAGUCUCAAGUCAAGAUAGACUUCUGCUCGACCAAUGAUUACCACAUCAGUGGUGAUGCUCAGUCUGGGCCAUGAAAACACUUGGGAUGGUGUGACCUGUCUGUAGGUCAGGUUUUGGUAAAAGGUGGCUUUUGGGCUCAUCCAGAAAACCAUCCACUGACAAGAGCAUCCAUCCAUAGAACUGUGAACAGCUAACUGGAUAGUGAGCCCAACCUUCGAGACUGCAAGUGGGAUUAAGAAGACGGUUUCUUCUAAGGAAGAACUUCCUUUACUACUUCAUAGAGCAGAAGCACAGA